AGCAUUUUUUCUGUCCUCAGAUCGUGUGUUAUAUCUACUUCACGCGGAUCAUCGCGAUACUGCUGGAGUUGACGGUGCCGUUCCAGUGGCAGUGGUGUCAGGAGUUUUUAGUGGAGGUUUCUACUCUGAUCUUCUUC
This is a long non-coding RNA of Cyprinus carpio (common carp), 137 nucleotides long. The record is from Ensembl. Lineage: Eukaryota; Metazoa; Chordata; Actinopteri; Cypriniformes; Cyprinidae.